This 286-nucleotide long non-coding RNA is filed under the name Homo sapiens (human). RNAcentral's name for it is "lncAB382.1". Lineage: Eukaryota; Metazoa; Chordata; Mammalia; Primates; Hominidae. The record is from RNAcentral.
GAGAAUGGGCAGCUUUCUCAUUCAUCUUUCAGGAAGGUGACCUUUAACUUGUGGCAUGCCCUGAGAAGCCAUCCUCUGGGACCAGAGACUGAGUGUUUCUAAACAUUUUGGCUGGACUGAGGUGCUGUUACCACCCUCCAUGAAGGCCACUCCCUAGUGACAGCCCUAACAGCAUGUGCACUGUCUAAAUCACAUCCCACCAUCCUGAAAACUUCAUUUCCUCCCACUGGUUUCCUUCAUACAGCUAUUCUAACAAUUUUACCAGAACACCACCUGAAGAUGCCCA